UCCCAACAAGCUGGCGACACAAGGAUGGU
This 29-nucleotide non-coding RNA is filed under the name Homo sapiens (human). Lineage: Eukaryota; Metazoa; Chordata; Mammalia; Primates; Hominidae. The record is from RNAcentral.